Molecule: ribosomal RNA, 711 nt
Filed under: Bacillus sp. PSu5_33
Lineage: Bacteria; Bacillati; Bacillota; Bacilli; Caryophanales; Bacillaceae
Description: bacterial SSU rRNA
Rfam family: Bacterial small subunit ribosomal RNA
Source: RNAcentral
GCAAGUCGAGCGGACCGACGGGAGCUUGCUCCCUUAGGUCAGCGGCGGACGGGUGAGUAACACGUGGGUAACCUGCCUGUAAGACUGGGAUAACUCCGGGAAACCGGGGCUAAUACCGGAUGCUUGAUUGAACCGCAUGGUUCAAUCAUGAAAGGCGGCUUCGGCUGCCGUUUACAGAUGGACCCGCGGCGCAUUAGCUAGUUGGUGAGGUAACGGCUCACCAAGGCGACGAUGCGUAGCCGACCUGAGAGGGUGAUCGGCCACACUGGGACUGAGACACGGCCCAGACUCCUACGGGAGGCAGCAGUAGGGAAUCUUCCGCAAUGGACGAAAGUCUGACGGAGCAACGCCGCGUGAGUGAUGAAGGUUUUCGGAUCGUAAAGCUCUGUUGUUAGGGAAGAACAAGUACCGUUCGAAUAGGGCGGUACCUUGACGGUACCUAACCAGAAAGCCACGGCUAACUACGUGCCAGCAGCCGCGGUAAUACGUAGGUGGCAAGCGUUGUCCGGAAUUAUUGGGCGUAAAGCGCGCGCAGGCGGUUUCUUAAGUCUGAUGUGAAAGCCCCCGGCUCAACCGGGGAGGGUCAUUGGAAACUGGGGAACUUGAGUGCAGAAGAGGAGAGUGGAAUUCCACGUGUAGCGGUGAAAUGCGUAGAGAUGUGGAGGAACACCAGUGGCGAAGGCGACUCUCUGGUCUGUAACUGACGCUGAG